UCUUUUUCUUUAUUUUUCU
RNAcentral lists this small RNA (19 nucleotides) under Arabidopsis thaliana (thale cress). RNAcentral's name for it is "ATSL133530". Lineage: Eukaryota; Viridiplantae; Streptophyta; Magnoliopsida; Brassicales; Brassicaceae. The record is from RNAcentral.